AUAACGCUGGCGGAAUGCCCUACACAUUCAAGUCGAACGGCAGCACGGGGGCAACCCUGUGUGGCGAGUGUGCGAACGGGUAUAUACAUCGUGAACGUGCCCAGUCGUGGGGGAUACGUAGCGAAAGUUACGCUACAUACCUGCAUACGAUCUAAGGAUGACAGCGGGGGACCGUAAGGCCUCGCGCGAUUGGAGCGUGCCGAUGUCAGAUUAUGUAGUUGGUGAGGUAAAGGCCCACCAAGCCUGCGAUCUGUAGCUGGUCUGAGAGGACGACCAGCCACACUGGGACUGAGACACGGACCAGACUCCUACGGGAGUGCAGCAGUGGGGAAUUUUGGACAAUGGGCGCAAGCCUGAUCCAGCCAUUCCGCGUGCAGGACGAAGUGCCUUCGGGUUGUAAACUGCUUUUGUACGGAACGAAAAGCCCAUGGCUAAUCCUCGGGUCAAGACGAACCGAAAGAAUAAGCACCGGAUAACUACAGUCCCAGCAAACGCGGUACUACGUA
Molecule: ribosomal RNA, 506 nt
Filed under: uncultured Comamonadaceae bacterium
Lineage: Bacteria; Pseudomonadati; Pseudomonadota; Betaproteobacteria; Burkholderiales; Comamonadaceae
Description: bacterial SSU rRNA
Rfam family: Bacterial small subunit ribosomal RNA
Source: RNAcentral